GUGGGGAAUAUUGGACAAUGGGCGAAAGCCUGAUCCAGCCAUGCCGCGUGUGUGAAGAAGGUCUUCGGAUUGUAAAGCACUUUAAGUUGGGAGGAAGGGCAGUAAGUUAAUACCUUGCUGUUUUGACGUUACCGACAGAAUAAGCACCGGCUAACUUCGUGCCAGCAGCCGCGGUAAUACGAAGGGUGCAAGCGUUAAUCGGAAUUACUGGGCGUCAAGCGCGCGUAGGUGGUUUUGUAAGUUGGAGGUGAAAUACCCGGGCUCAACCUGGGAGCUGCCUACAAAACUGCAUGACUAGAGUACGGUAGAGGGUAGUAGAAUUUCCUGUGUAGCGGUGAAAUGCGUAGAUAUAGGAAGGAACACCAGUGGCGAAGGCGACUACCUGGACUGAUACUGACACUGGGGUGCGAAAGCGUGGGGAGCAAACAGGAUUAGAAACCCGGGUAGUCC
Molecule: ribosomal RNA, 450 nt
Filed under: uncultured bacterium
Lineage: Bacteria
Description: bacterial SSU rRNA
Rfam family: Bacterial small subunit ribosomal RNA
Source: RNAcentral